Molecule: ribosomal RNA, 520 nt
Filed under: uncultured Acaulospora
Lineage: Eukaryota; Fungi; Glomeromycota; Glomeromycetes; Diversisporales; Acaulosporaceae
Description: SSU rRNA
Rfam family: Eukaryotic small subunit ribosomal RNA
Source: RNAcentral
AGCAGCCGCGGUAAUUCCAGCUCCAAUAGCGUAUAUUAAAGUUGUUGCAGUUAAAAGCUCGUAGUUGAAUUUCGGGGUUUAUCCGUUGGUCGGGCUUUUUGGUCUGUACUGGCGUGAUGGAUUCCUACCUUCUGAAUAACCGGCAUGCCAUUAAUUUGGUGCGCCGGGGAAGCAGGACUGUUACCUUGAAAAAAUUAGAGUGCUUAAAGCAGGCUUAUGCCUGAAUACAUUAGCAUGGAAUAAUGAAAUAGGACGGCAUGGUUCUAUUUUGUUGGUUUCUAGGAUCACCGUAAUGAUUAAUAGGGAUAGUUGGGGGCAUUAGUAUUCAAUUGUCAGAGGUGAAAUUCUUGGAUUUAUUGAAGACUAACUUCUGCGAAAGCAUUUGCCAAGGAUGUUUUCAUUAAUCAAGAACGAAAGUUAGGGGAUCGAAGAUGAUCAGAUACCGUCGUAGUCUUAACCAUAAACUAUGCCGACUAGGGAUCGGACGAUGUUAAUUUUUUAAUGACUCGUUCGGCGCCUU